CAUUGACAGAAGAAACAUUGUUGCAGUCUUGUGUCGAUGUAUGAGUGAAUUCAUCAUUUUAGCUUCUGCAACAUUGUCGCCGUGGAUUUUCAAACAACCCCGUUUGUGUAACAGAUUAAGCGGACCCUGCGGCCUGUGUAUAUGCAGAGAUAACUCUGGGUCUUCCUUUCCUGUGGUGGUCCUCAUGAGAGUCAGUUUCAUCACAGUGCUUGAUGGUUUUUACGACUGCACUUGAAGAAACUUUCAAAGUUCCUGAAGUGUUCUGCCUUGACUGACGUUCAUGUCUUAAAGUAAUGAUGGACAGUCAUUUCUCUUUGCUUAUUUGAGCUGUUCCUGCCAUAAUAUGGACUUGUCAUUUUACCAAAUACGACUAUCUCCUGUAUACCAACCCUACCUUGUCACAACACAACUGAUUGGCUCAAGCGCAUUAAGAAGGAAAUAAACUCCACUAUUUAACUUUUAAAGAGGCACACCUGUUAAUGCAUUCCAGGUAACUGCCUCAUGAAGCUGGUUGAGAGAAUGCAAAGCGUGUGCAAAGCUGCCAUCAAGGCAAAGGGUGGCUACUUUGAAAAAUCUAAAUUAUAAAAUAUAUUUUUAUUUGUUUAACACUUUUUUGGUUACUACAUGAUUCCAUAUGUGUUAUUUCAUAGUUUUGAUGUCUUUACUAUUUUCUGUCUUCAUUAUUAUUCUACAAUGUAGAAAAUAGUACAAAUAAAGAAAAACCCUGGCAUGAGUAAGUGUGUCCAAAGUUUUGACUGGUAUUGUACAUAUUACCUCAAUUACCUCGACUAACCUGUACCGCUGCACAUUGACUCGAUACCGGUACCCCCUGUAUUUAGCCUCAUUUUUGUUAUUUUAUUGAGUAACUUUUUUAAACUUGAGUUUAUUUAGUAAAUAUAAUUUUUCUUAACUGCAUCGUUGUUUAAGGACUUGUAAGUACACAUUUCACAGUACGGUCUACACCUGUUGUAUUUGGCACAUGUGACAAAUAACAUUUGAUUUGAUUUGACAUAGUGUAUAUAAUACUGUAAGAAGCUCACAUAGUUGCUGUAACAAACUACAAACUCCACACAGUUGUCAC
Molecule: long non-coding RNA, 1081 nt
Organism: Oncorhynchus tshawytscha (Chinook salmon)
Lineage: Eukaryota; Metazoa; Chordata; Actinopteri; Salmoniformes; Salmonidae
Source: Ensembl